RNAcentral lists this non-coding RNA (100 nucleotides) under Limnochorda pilosa. RNAcentral describes it as "TPP sequence". It matches the Rfam family "TPP riboswitch aptamer (THI element)". Rfam says of the family: Vitamin B(1) in its active form thiamin pyrophosphate (TPP) is an essential coenzyme that is synthesised by coupling of pyrimidine and thiazole moieties in bacteria. The previously detected thiamin-regulatory element, thi box was extended, resulting in a new, highly conserved RNA secondary structure, the THI element, which is widely distributed in eubacteria and also occurs in some archaea. Lineage: Bacteria; Bacillati; Bacillota; Limnochordia; Limnochordales; Limnochordaceae. The record is from Rfam by way of RNAcentral.
CGCAAAGCCGAGGGGUGCCCUUCGGGGCUGAGAGGGAACCACCCAACCCUUGGAACCUGAUCUGGGUCAUACCAGCGCAGGGACGGCUUCCAUCGGUUCU